Long non-coding RNA from Gossypium arboreum, 479 nucleotides. RefSeq lists it as uncharacterized. The record is from RefSeq and is a predicted model, not a curated record. The transcript is spliced from 3 exons. Lineage: Eukaryota; Viridiplantae; Streptophyta; Magnoliopsida; Malvales; Malvaceae.
AUGGUCAUGCAAAUUUUAUUUUGGCCGAAUAUGGAGGAGAAAAAGAAAGCCAUUGAAGCUUCCUUAUUUUCGGCACUUGCAUGAAGUGAUUUAGAUCAAGUUAAGCCUCGUACGAGUCUAUAUCGAGGGAAAAACAAAGUAUCGGAUUCGUCGAUCUAAUUUAUCGUUACUGCGAAUGAGGUUGCCAGGUUAGCUCGAGUUGGAGGCCGUCAGAGAUAUUAUCACACUAUCGAGUUAACGCUAUUGGUGUAAGUAAAUCCUAGUGUUUCGAGUCUAUGGCAUGUAUAGGGUUUUAAUGUUGAGUAUGUGAUAUUAUGAUUUAGCCAAAGAUGUUGGCUUGUAUUAAUAAAGUGUUGUAGCCAUGUGAAUUGGCCUAUGUUGGCUAAUGAUGUUGUGGGCCUAAAUGUUUAUUCAUAUAUAUGUAUGAUACUAUAUCUUGUGAUGUGGCUUAUAGUAUGUAUGCCUAGAGAUUAAAAUGA